This 221-nucleotide ribosomal RNA is filed under the name uncultured bacterium. Its description in RNAcentral is "partial 16S ribosomal RNA". It matches the Rfam family "Bacterial small subunit ribosomal RNA", at positions 96 to 334 of the family's 1533-position model. The record is from RNAcentral.
UGGCAGACGGGUGAGUAACGCGUGGGAACGUACCUUUUGGUUCGGAACAACACAGGGAAACUUGUGCUAAUACCGGAUAAGCCCUUACGGGGAAAGAUUUAUCGCCGAAAGAUUGGCCCGCGUCUGAUUAGCUAGUUGGUGAGGUAAUGGCUCACCAAGGCGACGAUCAGUAGCUGGUCUGAGAGGAUGAUCAGCCACAUUGGGACUGAGACACGGCCCAA